GGAGUUAGCCGGUGCUUCUUCUGUGAGUGAUGUCCUUCCUGCCGGCUAUUAACCCGCAGGCCUUCUUCCUCACUGAAAGUGCUUUACAACCCGAAGGCCUUCUUCACACACGCGGCAUGGCUGGAUCAGGGUUGCCCCCAUUGUCCAAUAUUCCCCACUGCUGCCUCCCGUAGGAGUCUGGGCCGUGUCUCAGUCCCAGUGUGGCUGAUCAUCCUCUCAGACCAGCUACGGAUCGUCGCCUUGGUGAGCCGUUACCUCACCAACCAGCUAAUCCGACAUAGGCUCAUCCGAUAGCGCGAGGCCCGAAGGUCCCCCGCUUUCCCCCGUAGGGCGUAUGCGGUAUUAGCCUGGGUUUCCCCAGGUUAUCCCCCACUACCGGGCAGGAUUCCUAUGCAUUACUCACCCGUCCGCCGCUCGCCACCAGGGAGCAAGCUCCCCGUGCUGCCGCUCGACUUGCAUGUGUUAGGCCUGCCGCCAGCGUUCAAUCUGAACCAAGAUCAAAUUCUGA
RNAcentral lists this ribosomal RNA (508 nucleotides) under uncultured bacterium. Its description in RNAcentral is "partial 16S ribosomal RNA". The record is from RNAcentral.